AUCUGCGAUAAGCGCCGGUAAGGUGAUAUGAACCGUUAUAACCGGCGAUACCCGAAUGGGGAAACCCAGUGUGACUCGUCACACUAUCAUUAACUGAAUCCAUAGGUUAAUGAGGCGAACCGGGGGAACUGAAACAUCUAAGUACCCCGAGGAAAAGAAAUCAACCGAGAUUCCCCCAGUAGCGGCGAGCGAACGGGGAGGAGCCCAGAGCCUGAAUCAGCAUGUGUGUUAGUGGAAGCGUCUGGAAAGGCGCGCGAUACAGGGUGACAGCCCCGUACACAAAAGCGCAUGUGCUGUGAGCUCGAUGAGUAGGGCGGGACACGUGGUAUCCUGUCUGAAUAUGGGGGGACCAUCCUCCAAGGCUAAAUACUCCUGACUGACCGAUAGUGAACCAGUACCGUGAGGGAAAGGCGAAAAGAACCCCGGCGAGGGGAGUGAAAAAGAACCUGAAACCGUGUACGUACAAGCAGUGGGAGCACCCUUUGGGUGUGACUGCGUACCUUUUGUAUAAUGGGUCAGCGACUUAUAUUCUGUAGCAAGGUUAACCGAAUAGGGGAGCCGGAGGGAAACCGAGUCUUAAUUGGGCGUUAAGUUGCAGGGUAUAGACCCGAAACCCGGUGAUCUAGCCAUGGGCAGGUUGAAGGUUGGGUAACACUAACUGGAGGACCGAACCGACUAAUGUUGAAAAAUUAGCGGAUGACCUGUGGCUGGGGGUGAAAGGCCAAUCAAACCGGGAGAUAGCUGGUUCUCCCCGAAAGCUAUUUAGGUAGCGCCUCGUGAAUUCAUCUCCGGGGGUAGAGCACUGUUUCGGCUAGGGGGCCAUCCCGGCUUACCAACCCGAUGCAAACUGCGAAUACCGGAGAAUGUUAUCACGGGAGACACACGGCGGGUGCUAACGUCCGUCGUGAAGAGGGAAACAACCCAGACCGCCAGCUAAGGUCCCAAAGUCAUGGUUAAGUGGGAAACGAUGUGGGAAGGCCCAGACAGCCAGGAUGUUGGCUUAGAAGCAGCCAUCAUUUAAAGAAAGCGUAAUAGCUCACUGGUCGAGUCGGCCUGCGCGGAAGAUGUAACGGGGCUAAACCAUGCACCGAAGCUGCGGCAGCGACACUGUGUGUUGUUGGGUAGGGGAGCGUUCUGUAAGCCUGUGAAGGUGUGUCGUGAGGCAUGCUGGAGGUAUCAGAAGUGCGAAUGCUGACAUAAGUAACGAUAAAGCGGGUGAAAAGCCCGCUCGCCGGAAGACCAAGGGUUCCUGUCCAACGUUAAUCGGGGCAGGGUGAGUCGACCCCUAAGGCGAGGCCGAAAGGCGUAGUCGAUGGGAAACGGGUUAAUAUUCCCGUACUUGGUGUUACUGCGAAGGGGGGACGGAGAAGGCUAUGUUGGCCGGGCGACGGUUGUCCCGGUUUAAGCGUGUAGGUGUGUGUUCCAGGUAAAUCCGGUUCACUUUAACACUGAGGCGUGACGACGAGGCACUACGGUGCUGAAGCAACAAAUGCCCUGCUUCCAGGAAAAGCCUCUAAGCAUCAGGUAACAUCAAAUCGUACCCCAAACCGACACAGGUGGUCAGGUAGAGAAUACCAAGGCGCUUGAGAGAACUCGGGUGAAGGAACUAGGCAAAAUGGUGCCGUAACUUCGGGAGAAGGCACGCUGACACGUAGGUGAAGUGAUUUACUCAUGGAGCUGAAGUCAGUCGAAGAUACCAGCUGGCUGCAACUGUUUAUUAAAAACACAGCACUGUGCAAACACGAAAGUGGACGUAUACGGUGUGACGCCUGCCCGGUGCCGGAAGGUUAAUUGAUGGGGUCAGCGCAAGCGAAGCUCCUGAUCGAAGCCCCGGUAAACGGCGGCCGUAACUAUAACGGUCCUAAGGUAGCGAAAUUCCUUGUCGGGUAAGUUCCGACCUGCACGAAUGGCGUAAUGAUGGCCAGGCUGUCUCCACCCGAGACUCAGUGAAAUUGAACUCGCUGUGAAGAUGCAGUGUACCCGCGGCAAGACGGAAAGACCCCGUGAACCUUUACUAUAGCUUGACACUGAACAUUGAGCCUUGAUGUGUAGGAUAGGUGGGAGGCUUUGAAGUGUGGACGCCAGUCUGCAUGGAGCCGACCUUGAAAUACCACCCUUUAAUGUUUGAUGUUCUAACGUGGACCCGUUACCCGGGUUGCGGACAGUGUCUGGUGGGUAGUUUGACUGGGGCGGUCUCCUCCUAAAGAGUAACGGAGGAGCACGAAGGUUGGCUAAUCCUGGUCGGACAUCAGGAGGUUAGUGCAAUGGCAUAAGCCAGCUUGACUGCGAGCGUGACGGCGCGAGCAGGUGCGAAAGCAGGUCAUAGUGAUCCGGUGGUUCUGAAUGGAAGGGCCAUCGCUCAACGGAUAAAAGGUACUCCGGGGAUAACAGGCUGAUACCGCCCAAGAGUUCAUAUCGACGGCGGUGUUUGGCACCUCGAUGUCGGCUCAUCACAUCCUGGGGCUGAAGUAGGUCCCAAGGGUAUGGCUGUUCGCCAUUUAAAGUGGUACGCGAGCUGGGUUUAGAACGUCGUGAGACAGUUCGGUCCCUAUCUGCCGUGGGCGCUGGAGAACUGAGGGGGGCUGCUCCUAGUACGAGAGGACCGGAGUGGACGCAUCACUGGUGUUCGGGUUGUCAUGCCAAUGGCACUGCCCGGUAGCUAAAUGCGGAAGAGAUAAGUGCUGAAAGCAUCUAAGCACGAAACUUGCCCCGA
This 2713-nucleotide ribosomal RNA is filed under the name Salmonella enterica subsp. enterica serovar Enteritidis. RNAcentral's name for it is "partial 23S ribosomal RNA". It matches the Rfam family "Bacterial large subunit ribosomal RNA". The record is from RNAcentral. Lineage: Bacteria; Pseudomonadati; Pseudomonadota; Gammaproteobacteria; Enterobacterales; Enterobacteriaceae.